UUAAACUUAAUGGCCAAAGCUGAACCUUAAGUAUCAGAAUCUGGAACUCUGUAAUCUAAAAUGUUAUUUUAAAAGCUAAAAAUUUAUUCUGUGUAUCACUCAGAUGCUGAAAUAUUCUAUUCUUAUAAAGUACCAUAAAAAGGGUCUUUGAGAAUUCUCUCAAAGGGAUACCCACGAAAAAGUUUUUCCUUAAACUUUUCAUUCUUAAUUCAAGACAAGACUACACAAAAGAUACCCUGAACUGAGCACCAAUGUGAACAGAUACACACACUUCCCAAAACUCAUAUAUAAAGUCCUCUCCCAAACCAAAGGUUGGCUUUUUGAAAGAAAAGACUGAGACUGAUUUAAUUGAGAAAAAACAUGUCUUUAAGUUUUAUCAUACAGCCUUAUUUUAAAAUAUAGUUAAAAUGUUACAUUUGAACCAAGAAUGAUACUAGUUUAUUCAUAACUGCAUUGUUUUAAAAACCUAGAAAAAUGAGUUUUAAACCAAUUAAUUAACCUGAAAAAACUGUCAUUACUUUUAGAAUAUACCAAAUAGUGAUCUCACACUAGUGAUUUCAAAUGUCAACCUUAGUGAUGAUGUAUUUACAUAUUUUAAGCCAACAUCAAUUAGCAUUGAGUUUUUCAUGUUAUUUUCACCUGCCCAAAUGGUGACUUCAUUUACUCUAUUAUGUUUCAAUACAAAAUGACUGCUUACAUACACAAACACAAUUUUAGGGCGUAGUUAAAUAUUUUGUAAACGUUUUUUUUUCUUUUUUUUUUUGAGGGUGUAUCACAUAAUAAGUUGAAAGAUGUGUAUAUCUUGGCUGAAACACUUCCUAGACAUAAAGCACAUUGCAGAGUUUGUACUGAACAUUUCAUAUAAUAACACUUAAAGACAAAUAUCUAAUAACUCCAUAUACCACAUAUCACAUAAUAUCUGUGGCAAAUGUACAAUAUUUUAUAAAUAAACUUUACCCAAAUAUUGCAGAAAAAAAACUUUGGGGUACAUUAUAUAUAAAUACAGAGACAGCUGAGUUGUGAUUUUUAAUUUAGGUAUAUAUACUGUAAUAUGCUCACCAGUUCUUUUCCUAAAUUUUUUUUUUUUUUUUUUUACUCUCCCUGAGUCCAUUCCAUAUUUAGCAACACAGUUACAUUUU
Chelonoidis abingdonii (Abingdon island giant tortoise) is the source of this 1139-nucleotide non-coding RNA. Lineage: Eukaryota; Metazoa; Chordata; Testudines; Testudinidae. The record is from RefSeq and is a predicted model, not a curated record.